Molecule: long non-coding RNA, 1825 nt
Filed under: Salvia miltiorrhiza (redroot sage)
Lineage: Eukaryota; Viridiplantae; Streptophyta; Magnoliopsida; Lamiales; Lamiaceae
Description: long non-coding RNA (SMIL_LNC007143)
Source: RNAcentral
CAUUUGGGGGUGGCAUUCGCGCGCGCUAUGGCAUCUAAUUCUUCGAGGAUCCGAGAGAUGGCUUUGAAGAGGCUGAUAGCGCGAGUCUUUACAGAGUCGAGGUUGAGCUGCUGCUGAAGCGCCGAGUUCAGCCGCUCCACAGCCUUCGCCGGCGGCGGUUGUUGCUGGUCUUGGCCAAGCCGCCACCACUGCUGCUUCCGCAGCUGCCAUUAAUAUUUGAUCGGAGCUCCGCCGUGGGCGGCCGGGUGAGGGUUGAGAAUUCCGGUUAAUAUAUCCUCAGCGUCAAUGAGUCAAUUCUUCGAAGGAAAAAAGGUUAAUAAAUUCAGUUCAAAAAUACAGCAUCCAGUUCAUAUUAAAAUCAAAUCAAAUCAAAUCAAAUUAUCAUAAUUUAGCAAUUGUCGUCUACUAUUAUUUCAUAAUUACUUUAACUAUUUAAAUAUUUUAUAAGUAUUAACUAAUCCAAUAAAAAGAUGGAUUAAUAUUUAUAAUAUUGUUGACAAAUAAUAAAGUGAUUAAUAUAUGAGGUCAAAAUUUUNACCAAGUGCAUUGGAAGUGACGAUGCCACUUGUCUUUGAUCUCCAGGUACUCUUAACCCUGCACAUAAAAUGUCAAAGACGCAGUCCAAUCCAAAAGAUACGUAUGCUGUAAAGCGUAAGGUGUAUUAUACUUCCAAGAGCUGCUGAGUAAGAAUUUUCACCUUCACCAUGAUUGACAGCACUACGAAGCAAAUUUCCUGUCUUGUAUUUUGCAGCUUGCACCUUGUCAAUAGUUGGGAGAAGAUUUGUCCCCUGCCGAGUGCCAAAGUAGGUUUACGCGCAUCAGCUAUGAUCUUCUCAGCACUUUCACAGGCUGCUCCAAUCAUAUCAAUUCUAGUCUGAGAUCAAUUAAACAUACAUCAUUAUAAAGGAACGCCCAAUGAUGCACAAAUAUUCCAGCAGAAUGACUACACACCUUGAGCUUGUCAAUUGUGCCGCCACUGGCAGGCCCUGCAUACCAUGCAACAGCUGUUCUCUCUUAGUGUUGUCUUCCAUCUCCAUUUCCGGCAAAAGCUUAGAUGACAGCAUAACAGGCAGAACUGCAGCCAAGGAACAGCCAAACUUAAUACACGAAAUUGAAUUCCCACAUUGCACCUCUCUUACUCAUCAACAUAAAAAUCUUAUAGUGGAGAUAAACAAACCAGCUUUGCCUUUCUCAAUCUCCCACAUAGCCUUUUUAUGUCUUACAGUGAUGCAAUCAUAUAAGCAAGCAUUUCCUAUAAACUUUUAGCGACCUUAUAGCAAAUGCUUGGUCACAAGGAAAAAUAACCAGAAUAAACAAUUGAAAUCAAAAGGUUAAUCCACUUUUGCAGUGUAGCAGAUAAAUCAACACAUACUAGUAGCAUUCUCAGCAUUAACAUUCUUAGGAUGCACAACAAAAGCCUUGGACACAUUCUUGAUAUCUUCAACAAUAUUGUACAGCUCCAGAUUUACCAUCGAGAACUGCCCCAAAACAUCUUGCCUGCACCAAAAACCCUAAAAUUAUCAAUUGCGCGAGAAUUUGAUCGACAGCUACGGAAACUGGUUGAAUUGAAAUGGCAUAUUCGUACCAUUUGGGGGUGGCAUUCGCGCGCGCUAUGGCAUCUAAUUCUUCGAGGAUCCGAGAGAUGGCUUUGAAGAGGCUGAUAGCGCGAGUCUUUACAGAGUCGAGGUUGAGCUGCUGCUGAAGCGCCGAGUUCAGCCGCUCCACAGCCUUCGCCGGCGGCGGUUGUUGCUGGUCUUGGCCAGCCGCCACCACUGCUGCUUCCGCAGCUGCCAUUAAUAUUUGAUCGGAGCUCCGCCGUGGGCGG